Molecule: ribosomal RNA, 300 nt
Filed under: uncultured Methanosarcina sp.
Lineage: Archaea; Methanobacteriati; Methanobacteriota; Methanomicrobia; Methanosarcinales; Methanosarcinaceae
Description: bacterial SSU rRNA
Rfam family: Bacterial small subunit ribosomal RNA
Source: RNAcentral
GGUAAGGCUGGGCCAUCAGGCGGGGGAAGAACGAGGGGGCAAACGUUGCUCGGAAUUAAUGGUCGGAAAGGGCGGGGAGGCGGGAGAGAAAGUCGGGGGUGAAAUCCCGAGGCUCAACCUAGGAACUACACUCGAAACUUCUUUUCUUUAGUGCCGGAGAGGAAAGCGGAAUACCUGGUGUAGAGGUGAAAUUCGUAGAUAUCAGGUGGAACACCAGUGGCGAAGGCGGCUUUCUGGACGGUAACUGACGCUGAGACGCGAAAGCGUGGGGAGCAAACAGGAUUAGAUACCCCAGUAGUC